CGGGGUAUAGUGUAAUGGUAGCACGAGUCUUUUGGGAAGAUUUAGUCCCAGUUCAAAUCUGGGUACCCCGA
Molecule: transfer RNA, 71 nt
Filed under: Candidatus Tagabacteria bacterium CG_4_10_14_0_2_um_filter_40_13
Lineage: Bacteria; Candidatus Tagaibacteriota
Also listed under: 3 other names
Description: tRNA-Pro
Rfam family: tRNA
About the family: Transfer RNA (tRNA) molecules are approximately 80 nucleotides in length. Their secondary structure includes four short double-helical elements and three loops (D, anti-codon, and T loops).
Source: RNAcentral